GUUUACUUCAUGUUUUGUCUUACAGGAAAUAUAAUAUCUACAAAGUUUACUAAAAAAAAAUCAUGUAAAUGUCUACAAAAAUUGUGGGUUACCUAUCAAUUGCAAGUUGAAAGGUCAGAGUCCAUGAACUCUCUUGGAAGCUUCUCUCCCAACAACAAACACUUCCUGAAAUUAUAAACCGAAUAGUUAAAACAAAAAAAAAUUAGUGUCAAACAAAACUAAUACUCAAAAAAAAAGAACAGAUUCUUUUUAUUGAACUUGUUGCUUUAAUGCAUUAGUCCUUCCUUGUAAAUUUGAAUCAGAAAGAGACGAAAUCUAUAUCUCCAAGAGAUUAACAUAGGCGUGAUUGCUUCUUAUUAUUGCCUCGCUGAGUCUCCAUUAUGAAAACUCUUGAAAAUCCCGCUAAGAAAUGAAGCGUUAAAAAAAAGAAAAAUGAAGCGUUUACGCUAGAUCGUGCUUCUCGGACUGAAGCAGCUACGACAUCCUAACUUGAAUAUGUUUCUGAAUUUGAU
Molecule: long non-coding RNA, 512 nt
Filed under: Brassica rapa (field mustard)
Lineage: Eukaryota; Viridiplantae; Streptophyta; Magnoliopsida; Brassicales; Brassicaceae
Description: long non-coding RNA (BRAP_LNC002318)
Source: RNAcentral